GCCGCGGGCACGGUGGCGGCGUCACCGGGACCGGCCGUGGCCAGGUCGAAGACCGCGCCGAGCAUCGGUUCGACGCCGAUGCUGCGGUA
Molecule: transfer RNA, 89 nt
Filed under: Virgisporangium aurantiacum
Lineage: Bacteria; Bacillati; Actinomycetota; Actinomycetes; Micromonosporales; Micromonosporaceae
Description: tRNA-His
Source: RNAcentral